Molecule: long non-coding RNA, 929 nt
Organism: Bolinopsis microptera
Lineage: Eukaryota; Metazoa; Ctenophora; Tentaculata; Lobata; Bolinopsidae
Exons: 3
Source: RefSeq, a predicted model, not a curated record
UAUGUCGAUAUUGCAAGGGAAAGCUGUGCCAAGGAACCCGUUGACAGAAUCGGAACAUUUCCGCAAACCUUUUCUGGUCAGAAACUUACCCUUAAUGAUAAGGGAAGUGUGUCCGAGGCAGAAACAAACAAUUGAAGGUAAAUUGAUGGCCCUGCGGAUAAAGUUUGCUAAAGUUCACAUUCCCAAAGAAAGACCAAAGAAGAAAAGAAACUCCGCUUCCUCUGGAUCUUGAAUUUUCUCCCGAGAUUGGUGUACUAAGUAACAGUUAGCCUCGUUCUCUCCGACAAGAUCUCUCUCUAGCACGUGACAAGUUCGCACGUGACAAGUUAGCACGUGACAAGUUCACACGUGACAAGUUCGCACGUGACAAGUUCACACGUGACAAAUCACAGGAUAUUAACAGACUUGAUUCAGCAAGGGCUCUAAGAGUCCCGAACUAUCCGAUUUCUUCGAGAGUAUAAAAAGUUGUUUGUAAUUUAUUGAUUUUUAAAACGAAGGUGACUUGAUGUUAUACUGCAGCUGAAGGAAGUGUGUUUUGAUAAUUAUGUUUUUAAUAUAAUUAUGUAUGUGGGUUAAUUCUCUUGUCAUCUGAAGAUUGGUAUGGAAUGUUGGAUUUAUAGUCUGGGUGUAAGGUUAUUAAAGUAAUUAUGUUUAUUAAGUCAAUUAAGAUUAUUAGAGUGUGAGUCUAUAUUAUUCGAGUAAAAUCUAAUCUUUGUUCUUUGAAUAAUGAUCUUAAUAAAAAAGAGAACUAACGCCUCUUGAAUCCCUUUUACCAUGGAUGCAGUAAGGUUCUACUGCCGUAGUACAUACAUAUAACUAUAACGCUAUGACAAUUGUCUAACAUUGACUAGUUUAAUGAGGCUGAAGAUUGUUUUAGAAUUACUGCAGAUGUUAGACUUGACAGUGUUUAGGUUUGUUAGUUGUUGAGA